Molecule: long non-coding RNA, 480 nt
Filed under: Phoenix dactylifera (date palm)
Lineage: Eukaryota; Viridiplantae; Streptophyta; Magnoliopsida; Arecales; Arecaceae
Description: long non-coding RNA (PDAC_LNC015818)
Source: RNAcentral
UUUUUAUUUUUGAGUGUCUCUAUAAUCAUCUUUUCCCUUCAGAAGUUUAAAUUUAUUAGAAGGCAGAGAAUCUACAAGAUGAAGAAAAGUUCUGUAAGAAGAAUGUUUCCUUGGAAGGCAAACAUACCUUCAGAUGGAUCUGUCUUAGCUUGAGCUGUGGCUCUCUCCGCAAAGAGCAACAAAGAGAGGAUGAAGAACAACCGAAAGGCUUGCGACUGGGUGUUGGUUGGAGAUCUUGACACCACCAUCUUCCCUCCCUUUGAUGGAGAAAACUCAACCUAACCCCUGCAGAGGCUCUUGCUGGCAUCAUGUCCUGUUUCUUAUAAGAAGGUGGGGGAAAGGUUCUACCUCUCUUAAUUUACAACUUGUUUGGGAGAUGCAAGUGGAGCCAUAUUUUUUAAGCACACCGAUGAAGAGUGGUCGGUUUUGUUUGUAUCAAGUGCAUUCAGAUCCAUGGUCCCAAGCAGGAGUGCUGAUUAU